UACGGGGGGGGCAAGCGUUGUUCGGAAUUAUUGGGCGUAAAGGGCGCGUAGGCGGCUUGUUAAGUCGGCUGUGAAGGCCCGGGGCUCAACCCCGGAGGGUCAGCCGAUACUGGCAGGCUAGAGUACGGAAGAGGUAGCUGGAAUUCCCGGUGUAGCGGUGAAAUGCGUAGAUAUCGAGAGGAACACCUGCGGCGAAGGCGGGUUGCUGGGCUGACACUGACGCUGAGGCGCGAAAGCUAGGGGAGCGAACGGG
RNAcentral lists this ribosomal RNA (253 nucleotides) under uncultured prokaryote. Its description in RNAcentral is "partial 16S ribosomal RNA". It matches the Rfam family "Bacterial small subunit ribosomal RNA", at positions 524 to 776 of the family's 1533-position model. The record is from RNAcentral.